CUAUUUUCACCAGUUCUCUCAUACGCCCCCAAAUAUUUCCUUCAGUAUUGCAGUAUCUCCCCCAAAAUACUACGCAUACGAGACCCAUCUCCAAAAUCACCACCACAUACACCAACCGGCACCAGACGCACCCCACCUUCAACCCUUCGUGCAUCAGACGCACCCCCACCAACCGCCAUCUUCAUCCGCGGCUCCGAAACCACCACCACUGGUCUUCAUCACUAACGACGCACCAACAUCCAAAUCGGUACUUCACUAGUACACAACUCAUUUGAUGAACAACUCUAAGUUUUUUUGGGCACCCUUUAAGAGUUUAAUGAUUUAAGCGUUCCAUGUGUUAUUGCAUUUAUUGAAGGCUGGGGUUCAUCGUUGAUAGUGGGAAUGUUGCUUAAUUAUGAAUCUCAUGCAUUGCAGGAUUGUAAGUCUUGUUCUUAUCGUUGAUGCUCCCGUAAACAUUAUAAUGCGUUUGUUUACUAACCCAUGCAAGCCUAUUAUACUUGCACUUGCUAGGUAUGAUUAUGUCAUAUAUGGUAAGUCCAUUUCCGUACCAAUUUUAUUGAGGAUGCUUACAAAGUUUCUAGACAUUUAUUUGUAAGUUUUUCGUUAAAAUUGAUUAUUGUUGAUAUAUUCUUGUUUUUUUGUUCCUUCAUGAUCAAUCAACAACAUGGCAUCGUUAACUAAGUCCGGCGGCACACAGCGCCGCAGCAGUGUUAUCGCCUGAAUAACCGGUGACGUUCUGCUCUUCACCGAAUCCUCAACAAUUAGAAACAUUUGAUUUGAUUUGCUUUGGAGGUGCCGUGGUCUUUGAUUUGAUCGCCGCGCAUUAGCCAAUGAAGAAUCUCUACUCAUUCAUCAGCAAUGAAGAUUUUGACAUCAAUUCUGAUGAGCAUGCAUCUAUGACCAUACAUUGGAUUAAUCAUCUAUGAUAAGAAGUUGUUGGGAUAUCUGGAUAUAGCAAGCAUUGGAAAUUGAGAACUACCAGAUGAUCUGUUGUUGCAAGGAUAUCCAACCUUUUAUUUUAUCUAAGGGUCUUGGAUAGACUAAGUGCUAAGGACUAUUGAUGGAACCUUUUCUGCACGGGAAUGACAAUGACGAUGAUGAAAACAUUAAUUUACAUCCAAUACCCAAUUACCAUCAAGCUUCAAAAGGUUCAAGAGGAAUUAGAAAAAGAACGGGAGGCCCGACAAAACAUAGAAUCCCGGUUCGAAAAAUUUCAACAAGAGCGCGAGAAAGAGCGGGCCGACCAAGCGGCAUGGCAAAAACUUAUAGAAGAAAAGCUGAAAAGCAUCGGAAAUGAGUAAAAACUCUCGUCUAGUUAAGUAUUGUAAUGUUAAACAACGGAUUAGUUUUGAUUGCUUUUAGUUAGGAUUUUUUGUGCG
Long non-coding RNA from Helianthus annuus (common sunflower), 1379 nucleotides. RefSeq lists it as uncharacterized. The record is from RefSeq and is a predicted model, not a curated record. NCBI's taxonomy places the organism in Eukaryota, Viridiplantae, Streptophyta, Magnoliopsida, Asterales, Asteraceae. The transcript is spliced from 8 exons.